AGUGAACGCUGGCGGCAUGCCUAACACAUGCAAGUCGAACGGCAGCACCGUAUGAGCUUGCUCUUGCGGGUGGCGAGUGUCGGACGCGGCAGGUAUACAUCGAAUACCACUUUUUCGGGGGUGAUAACGUAGGAAAACGUCCGCUAAUCCAGGAUAUGUCCCACGGGUGUGAGCAGGGGUUCUUUUGACCUGUCGGGAGUGAAAAAGCCGAUGUCGGACUAGCUAGUUGGCGGGGUAGAGGCCCACCCAGGCGACGAUCCGUAGCUGAUCCGAGGGGAUGGUCCCCCACAUUGGAAGUGAGACAGAGUCCAGACUCCUACGGGAGGACGCAGUGGAGAAUCGUAGGCGAUGGGGGAGAGGCUGAUCUAGCAAUACCGCGUGAGUGCAGAAGGCGCUCGGGUUGUAAAGCCCUUUUGUUGGGAAAGAAAAGCAGCUGUUUUAUACGGCGCUGUACUGACGGUACCGAGAGAAUAAGCUCCGGCUAACUUCGUG
Molecule: ribosomal RNA, 492 nt
Filed under: uncultured bacterium
Lineage: Bacteria
Description: partial 16S ribosomal RNA
Rfam family: Bacterial small subunit ribosomal RNA
Source: RNAcentral